This 506-nucleotide ribosomal RNA is filed under the name uncultured Desulfobacterales bacterium. RNAcentral's name for it is "bacterial SSU rRNA". It matches the Rfam family "Bacterial small subunit ribosomal RNA", at positions 400 to 896 of the family's 1533-position model. Lineage: Bacteria; Pseudomonadati; Thermodesulfobacteriota; Desulfobacteria; Desulfobacterales. The record is from RNAcentral.
CGUGAGUGAUGAAGGCUUUCGAGUCGUAAAGCUCUGUCAAGUGAGAAGAACCUAUCCCGCGUUAAUACCGUGGGAUACUGACGGUAUCACUGAAGGAAGCACCGGCUAACUCCGUGCCAGCAGCCGCGUUAAUACGGAGGGUGCAAGCGUUAUUCGGAAUUAUUGGGCGUAAAGGGCGCGUAGGCGGUCUUUUAAGUCAGAUGUGAAAGCCCGGGGCUCACCCCCGGAAGUGCAUUUGAAACUAAGGGACUUGAGUAUGGGAGAGGGAAGUGGAAUUCCUGGUGUAGAGGUGAAAUUCGUAGAUAUCAGGAGGAACACCGGUGGCGAAGGCGACUUCCUGGACCAAUACUGACGCUGAGGCGCGAAGGCGUGGGGAGCAAACAGGAUUAGAUACCCUGGUAGUCCACGCAGUAAACGGUGAACACUAGGUGUAGCGGGUAUUGACCCCUGCUGUGCCGCAGUUAACGCAUUAAGUGUUCCGCCUGGGGAGUACGGCCGCAAGGUUA